Armigeres subalbatus is the source of this 635-nucleotide long non-coding RNA. RefSeq lists it as uncharacterized. Lineage: Eukaryota; Metazoa; Arthropoda; Insecta; Diptera; Culicidae. The record is from RefSeq and is a predicted model, not a curated record. The transcript is spliced from 2 exons.
AAUGGCGGUAAGCUCCAACGAGGAUAAUACGCAAUUCUCGUAUUAUCCUCGAUUUUGGUAAGCUUCAAGCCGUAUUAUCCUCAAACUUAAUCUCAGAUUUUAUUUUAAUACGCCGAUUUUGGGGUAUUAAGAUAAUCCGAGAUUUUCUGUAUGUACGCAGCCAAAUAUUAACUUGGUCUCACGCACACAUUUUAAUGGAGCAAAUGUCACUUUUUAGAUUUUGUUUUUGUUAGUUUUCUUUUGUCACCCUUUUGUCUAAAAACAUUUAACAGGAAUAUUUCCGAAUUUCCUCAAAAGCUUCCUGGAGAAGUUAAAAUUUAAAAAAUAGUGGUCAACAGAUACAUCAUAACAGCAAUGAUUUCGAGGCCAAAAAGAGCUAGAACCGCUGGAACGCAUCUGCUGGAGAUUUUCACCAUGGUCAGGAAAAAGAAACGAGGGUCCCUGCUGAAGCCGGAAAAUAGAAAAGGAGACACCUGUGACACAGACGGUUGUACUGAUGCUGUACAACGAGUGAAAAAAUGAGAUGAAUCCGAUUGCUGAAAUGACAUGUAAAUCUCGAAGAAUGUGUAUAUUAUAAUGCUAUAGGCAUGGAUUGUAAAUGAAUACGUGCAUCUGCUCUACUGCGAGCAAAAAUC